The submitters of this non-coding RNA (59 nucleotides) gave its source as unclassified sequences. The record is from Rfam.
GCCUUAAUGCAACUCCCUGUUGGGAACGGUCACAAGUCCGUGUAAAUGCAGAGUGAGGA